GUUGAACGCUGGCGGCGUGCCUAAUACAUGCAAGUCGAGCGAUCAGACGAGGCGCUUUCCUCUCUGACGUUAGCGGCGGACGGGUGAGUAACACGUGGAGAACCUAGCUAUAUGACUGGGAUAACCUCGGGAAACCGGAGCCAAUACCGGAUAAACUAUUGAACCGCAUGGUUCAAUACUGAAAGACGGUUUUGCUGCCACUUCUAGAUGGAGCCGCGACGCAUUAGCUAGUUGGUAAGGUAACGGCUUACCAAGUCAACGAUGCGUAGCCGACCUGAGAGGGUGAUCGGCCACACUGGAACUGAGACACGGUCCAGACUCCUACGGGAGGCAGCAGUGGGGAAUCUUCCGCAAUGGGCGCAAGCCUGACGGAGCAACGCCGCGUGAGUGAUGAAGGUCUUCGGAUCGUAAAACUCUGUUAUUAGGGAAGAACAAAUGUGUAUUUAACUAUGCGCGUCUUGACGGUACCUGAACAGAAAGCCACGGCUAACUACGUG
Molecule: ribosomal RNA, 497 nt
Filed under: uncultured bacterium
Lineage: Bacteria
Description: partial 16S ribosomal RNA
Rfam family: Bacterial small subunit ribosomal RNA
Source: RNAcentral